UACGGCGGGAGCUAGCGUUGUUCGGAAUUACUGGGCGGAAAGCGCACGUAGGCGGCGAUCCAAGUCAGGGGUGAAAGCCCGGGGCGCAACCCCGGAACUGCACUUGAAACUAGGUUGCUAGAAUACUGGAGAGGUGAGUGGAAUUCCGAGUGUAGAGGUGAAAUUCGUAGAUAUUCGGAAGAACACCAGUGGCGAAGGCGACUCACUGGACUGUUAUUGACGUUGAGGUGUGAAAGCGUGGGGAGCAAACAGG
This 253-nucleotide unclassified non-coding RNA is filed under the name uncultured Sphingomonadaceae bacterium. Its description in RNAcentral is "contains 16S-23S intergenic spacer region". It matches the Rfam family "Bacterial small subunit ribosomal RNA", at positions 524 to 776 of the family's 1533-position model. The record is from RNAcentral. Lineage: Bacteria; Pseudomonadati; Pseudomonadota; Alphaproteobacteria; Sphingomonadales; Sphingomonadaceae.